GAUUUCUAUGCUUAUAGGAUGAACGAUGUGGUUAUUGGGAGGAUAAGAAAAAUAAUAAAGACAAAGACCAUUUGGAAACACCCACACAUAGACAGUGGACAAAGGAAGAAAGGAAUGAAUAAAAAUUUCCCUGUACAAGACACUUGAGUAUACCAGGCUGGUGUUAGUGGAUUCCAGAGAGCUUCCAUAACAGAAACAGAGGGAUGUUUAUGCAAAAUAUGAAAAUGAGUAAAAGUUUCUCCAAAAUUUGCAAAUCAGUAAGACUAUGAAGAUGUAUGAAGACCAGAAUUGCCAAGGCUUUUCAUGCUAUGUACAACAUGAAAAAAACUGAUACAAAAAAGCAAAAUCAUUUAUUUUCAAAGUGCAAAUACUACAGGGAGAAAAGUCAACUUUAAAGGUACUAUAACUAUAUCCAUACCUGUUUUGGUCCCUCUGAAUAUAUUACUUCUACUACCGUCGUCAUCCAUUAUGGCUUGGGAAGGGAACUAAGAAGAGAGGAAUAUGAUGUCAGUGGAACAGCAAAGCUUGCCUGCAUUUCCUCCCAGGAACAUAGGAGAACCAAGCGCUAGGCCUAGAGCCUAUGUGAAAUGUAUGAAUUGCUCUGCAGUCUGUAGGAGAGAGGAUAAGUAAGUGGGGAAUUCUCAUUAAGAAUGUCCACACCCUCCUCAGAUAUCAGUCACCUCAUAGAUGAGCAUUGACUUGCACAGGAGACUUGCUCACAACAUAUCCACUAAUUCUAAUUUCAGUCUUUGGUACAGGGUCCUUGUCCAAAUAUGCAAAGCCGCAUUCAACAACAGUAAAUCAACAUAAGAAUGCAGGGACAAGAUGAUGCAGAUACGCCCAAUUCAAAACAUUUGCAUUAAAGUGCACCUGAUCCAUAUAUGGUAGUUUGGAAGCUCAGAAGAAUUCAGUGAAUUCUGAUCAAUGCACGAGAUAUACAUGUACAGUUUAAAGGGAGCUCUGUAAAAUUAAGGAAGAGAUGCUGGCAAGAGGCCCACAAAGCACUGUCAGGUCCUGUCUUGCCAUGUCUCUCCUUGAAGUAAGCAAGUCAGUAAGUCGUGUUCACUUGAACAACUCCCGUGAAGGAAAGCAUUAGGUCUGGCAACUCCAUUCUGAGACAGUGAAUAGCAACAGAUCUUUUAGGAGGUCUCAGAAGAGGGUGGGAUUUUGAACUGUAUUACACUGUAGGUUGCCAGAGAGAGUGAUAAGAAAGACAGAAAAAAAUGAAGAAAGGGCAGAAGACUGAGAACAGGCAUCACUUGAAAGACCAUUGAGAUUAUUAUCUUUAUAUUAAGACCUUAAGUCUUUGC
RNAcentral lists this long non-coding RNA (1310 nucleotides) under Gallus gallus (chicken). RNAcentral's name for it is "long non-coding RNA NONGGAT009205". The record is from RNAcentral. Lineage: Eukaryota; Metazoa; Chordata; Aves; Galliformes; Phasianidae.